GGAGAGGUGGCCGAGCGGUUGAAGGCGGCGGUCUCGAAAACCGUUAUAGGGUCCUGCCCUAUCGUGGGUUCGAAUCCCACCCUCUCCGCCA
RNAcentral lists this transfer RNA (91 nucleotides) under Chloroflexota bacterium. RNAcentral's name for it is "Chloroflexi bacterium tRNA-Ser". It matches the Rfam family "tRNA". From Rfam's summary of the family: Transfer RNA (tRNA) molecules are approximately 80 nucleotides in length. RNAcentral also lists the same sequence under 1 other name. Lineage: Bacteria; Bacillati; Chloroflexota. The record is from RNAcentral.